Molecule: ribosomal RNA, 254 nt
Filed under: uncultured bacterium
Lineage: Bacteria
Description: partial 16S ribosomal RNA
Rfam family: Bacterial small subunit ribosomal RNA
Source: RNAcentral
CACGUAGGGUGCGAGCGUUGUCCGGAAUUAUUGGGCGUAAAGAGCUCGUAGGCGGUGUGUCACGUCGGCCGUGAAAACCUGCAGCUUAACUGUGGGCGUGCGGUCGAUACGGGCAUCACUGGAGUUCGGCAGGGGAGACUGGAAUUCCUGGUGUAGCGGUGAAAUGCGCAGAUAUCAGGAGGAACACCGGUGGCGAAGGCGGGUCUCUGGGCAGUAACUGACGCUGAGGAGCGAAAGCGUGGGGAGCGAACAGG